Molecule: transfer RNA, 72 nt
Filed under: Oscillospiraceae bacterium
Lineage: Bacteria; Bacillati; Bacillota; Clostridia; Eubacteriales; Oscillospiraceae
Description: tRNA-Leu
Rfam family: tRNA
About the family: Transfer RNA (tRNA) molecules are approximately 80 nucleotides in length. Their secondary structure includes four short double-helical elements and three loops (D, anti-codon, and T loops). Further hydrogen bonds mediate the characteristic L-shaped molecular structure. tRNAs have two regions of fundamental functional importance: the anti-codon, which is responsible for specific mRNA codon recognition, and the 3' end, to which the tRNAs corresponding amino acid is attached (by aminoacyl-tRNA synthetases). tRNAs cope with the degeneracy of the genetic code in two manners: having more than one tRNA (with a specific anti-codon) for a particular amino acid; and 'wobble' base-pairing, i.e. permitting non-standard base-pairing at the 3rd anti-codon position.
Source: RNAcentral
GUACCAUUAGUUCCGGUUGGGGAACGCUUGCUUCAGAGGCAAGAGGUGCGGGUUCGACUCCUGCGUGACACU